ACGUAGGUGGCAAGCGUUGUCCGGAUUUAUUGGGCGUAAAGCGCGCGCAGGCGGUUCGUUAAGUCCGAGGUGAAAUCUCCCGGCUCAACUGGGAGGGGUCUUCGGAUACUGGCGGACUUGAGGAGAGCAGAGGUGAGUGGAAUUCUCGGUGUAGUGGUGAAAUGCGUAGAUAUCGAGAGGAACACCAGCGGCGAAGGCGGCUCACUGGGCUCCACCUGACGCUGAGGCGCGAAAGCGUGGGGAGCGAACCGGAUUAGAUACCCGGGUAGUCCACGCUGUAAACGAUGGGCACUAGGUGUGAGGGGUAUUGACCCCCUUUGUGCCGAAGCUAACGCAAUAAGUGCCCCGCCUGGGGAGUACGGCCGCAAGGCUA
RNAcentral lists this ribosomal RNA (373 nucleotides) under uncultured bacterium. RNAcentral's name for it is "bacterial SSU rRNA". It matches the Rfam family "Bacterial small subunit ribosomal RNA", at positions 525 to 896 of the family's 1533-position model. The record is from RNAcentral.